GUGUCAGCAGCCGCGGUAAUACGUAGGGGGCUAGCGUUGUCCGGAAUCAUUGGGCGUAAAGCGCGUGUAGGCGGCUCAGUCAGUCUGCUCUGAAAGUCCGAGGCUCAACCUCGGGAUGCGGGUGGAUACUGCUGGGCUAGAGUGCGGAAGAGGCGAGUGGAAUUCCUGGUGUAGCGGUGAAAUGCGCAGAUAUCAGGAGGAACACCAAUUGCGAAGGCAGCUCGCUGGGACGUUACUGACGCUGAGACGCGAAAGCGUGGGGAGCAAACAGGAUUAGAUACCCCCGUAGUCC
This 292-nucleotide ribosomal RNA is filed under the name uncultured bacterium. Its description in RNAcentral is "partial 16S ribosomal RNA". It matches the Rfam family "Bacterial small subunit ribosomal RNA", at positions 505 to 796 of the family's 1533-position model. The record is from RNAcentral.